This is a long non-coding RNA of Ixodes scapularis (black-legged tick), 564 nucleotides long. RefSeq lists it as uncharacterized. NCBI's taxonomy places the organism in Eukaryota, Metazoa, Arthropoda, Arachnida, Ixodida, Ixodidae. The transcript is spliced from 4 exons. The record is from RefSeq and is a predicted model, not a curated record.
ACGUCCUUCAGAGUGGUACGUGAAACCCUGGCACGUAGAUAACCCAACCUCGGCGAGUUUCCCGAGCCCUGGCCAUAAAAGACCCGUCCUCAGCCCUCGUAGUCAUCGACGCAGUAACUAAGCGUGAAACAAGCACGCAGCGAUGUGGAGCUUACGGCAAGUCGUGCUUUUUGUGACCCUGCUGGUGUGCAUCCUGGCCAUGGUGGCUGCUGUACCUGCCAAAAUAUGCCCCACCUACUGCAAAAAGGAGUGCCUGAACCCUAUUCUCUGCCCACCCCAAUGCAAGGAUUGCAAAUUGGCAUUUUUUUCUUUGGAAGAUUGAGGGAAGUGCCUGAAAAGACGUCGAACGAAACGUUUCAGCCGUGAUUUGUCGUCAUGGACUCUUCUGCGCUUUGAUAAAAUUGUGACUAACAUCAAACGUUAUGCCAAAAAUGUAAAAAACAAAACUAAUGUGAACAUGAUGUCCAUGUGUAAAAGAUUUGUGAAGAUGGUGGAUGCGUAUUUUGCGUCACCUAUUUAUACAUGCGGCAUUGUUGUAGUAAAAUAAAGAUGUUUUACUUUUGA